Molecule: ribosomal RNA, 253 nt
Filed under: uncultured bacterium
Lineage: Bacteria
Description: partial 16S ribosomal RNA
Rfam family: Bacterial small subunit ribosomal RNA
Source: RNAcentral
UACAGAGGGUGCGAGCGUUAAUCGGAAUUAUUGGGCGUAAAGGGUGCGUAGGUGGUUUGAUAAGUUAGGUGUGAAAUACCCGGGCUCAACCUGGGUGCUGCAUUUAAUACUGUUGAGCUGGAGUAUGGGAGAGGCAUGUGGAAUUUCCGGUGUAGCGGUGAAAUGCGUAGAUAUCGGAAGGAACAUCGGUGGCGAAGGCGGCUUGCUGGACUGAUACUGACACUGAGGCACGAGAGCAUGGGGAGCAAACAGG